UGCCAGAGUCUUUGAUUCCAAGAUGACAAAGAGAAGAAGGAACAACGGACGUGCCAAGAAGGGACGUCGACAUGUCCAGCCCAUCCG
Molecule: long non-coding RNA, 87 nt
Organism: Nanorana parkeri
Lineage: Eukaryota; Metazoa; Chordata; Amphibia; Anura; Dicroglossidae
Exons: 3
Source: RefSeq, a predicted model, not a curated record